Molecule: long non-coding RNA, 682 nt
Filed under: Marmota monax (woodchuck)
Lineage: Eukaryota; Metazoa; Chordata; Mammalia; Rodentia; Sciuridae
Source: RNAcentral
GGAGAUAUGGCCCUGAGGGAGGGGACCAUGUCCUGCUUUUAUGGUUCCUCUAGUGAGUAUUUAUUUGCAGUUGUCUCCCAGACGGCAGCCCUGACCUGUGGCACCGUGGGAUCCACAGCAACUCCGUGUUCAGUGUUACCGUGGCGGGGGGCGGGUGGUGGCGGAACCCAGAGAUAGAGAUCCAAAUGCAAACCACAGGCGGGCAGCAGUGAGGAGAGGGGAGCUGAGCGGAGACUCAGGAGGCAGAGGGCCAAGCCAGGUGGCAGGGCCCAGAGCUUCCAGAGAGGCAGGUCAUUCUGUUUGGUCCAAAGGCAGAGUGUCGGGGCAGGGGACAGGCUGCAGGGGGAAGAACACACAGGAAGGGCAGGAACUGAACAGGGAAGAGCUGGGGCCAGACCUAAGCCCCAGAGACCAGCAGUGUCCCCAGGAAGAACUGGAGACAAAGCCAGGGGCAGCCCCUUGGGGCACCCCCAGGAUGGUGCCCAGCCUGCCCAGGUGGCACCGCAGCAGCAGCAGGCUGGACACACCUCCCCAGGACCUGCAGGCCUGGGCUUCCCCGCCUUCUCCCCUGCAGGUGGUCUGACCCCUCCCUUCCCUCUGCCCGUUCCUUUGCUCCCCACCUGCCCAGCACGGUUCUCACCCUUCAGUGUUUUGCUCCUCCUCUGCCAGCUUCCUGUCUGUG